GUGCAGUGUAGAAUGUCUUUUGCGAUUGUACGCAAUCAAUACAACUUUCAACAACGGAUCUCUUGGCUCUCGCAUCGAUGAAGGACGCAGCGAAAUGCGAUACGUAAUGUGAAUUGCAGAAUUCAGUGAAUCAUCGAAUCUUUGAACGCACCUUGCGCCCCUUGGCAUUCCGAGGGGCACACCCGUUUGAGUGUCGUGAAUUUCUCAACCUCCUGCUGUUUCUUGAUAGCAGGANGCUUGGACUUUGGAGGCGCUUGCUGGCCUCUCUUCAGAAGCCAGCUCCUCUUAAAUGGAUUAGCAGGGUCUGCCUUUGGCCGAUCCUCGACGUGAUAAGCUGCUUCUACGUCUUGGAUUCGGCUCCGCCUCAUUCUUUUGAGACCUGCUUCUAAUCGUUCUCGGUUGCCCUUUCNGNUGGACUUUUGA
This 423-nucleotide ribosomal RNA is filed under the name uncultured Russulaceae. RNAcentral's name for it is "eukaryotic LSU rRNA". The stretch from base 43 to 196 matches the Rfam family "5.8S ribosomal RNA". The record is from RNAcentral. Lineage: Eukaryota; Fungi; Basidiomycota; Agaricomycetes; Russulales; Russulaceae.